UAGCCCUACCCUCAACACAUUGCAGCUCUUCACUGCCCAGGGGUCCUGACCCCAUGCUAUUCUCUGAAUAAAAGAGCAUACUACCAGACCAUGAGAGUCCAAGGAAUCUUUCUUUUGACUCCUCGGCUCGCCAAGCCCACAUCAGGCAUGGCAUUUUUGCCAAGCAGUGCCACCUUCGCACCCGGGAUCCCAACCGGAGAACCCCUGGCCAUCGAGAAGUGGAACGUGCGACCUUAACCACUGCACCACCAGUGUGGCUUGAUGAGCAGUGUUUGGUCUGCACCCAGAAUCUGAACCUGCGAACCCGGGGCUGCUGAAGUGGAGUGUGGGAACUUAAUGAAUACACCAUCAGGCCAGCCCUCAGCAAGAGAUCUUUAUGCUCUGUUUGGGCUCCAGUCCUGUGCCCUGAUCUGGAAAGUGUUUCCAGACACAAACCCACUCACUUUGUUUGCCUUCUCUCAGGUAUAUCAGUCCUGCCCUGCUUGUCAUCCAAUGUCUGUAAACAGUUGUUUCGUAUGCUUUGUCCAGUUGUAUAGGCUUUUAUGUUGGAAGGGCUAUUCCUUUACUAAUUAUUCCACCAGGCCUGGAUGCAGAAUCUGUUAUUUUUCAUUCAGUUUUUAAAUCAGUUCAUUAGUUCAUUAUCUCCCUGAACAGAUACUCAUAAACGGUAGAUGCUAACAGUAGUACAAGCUGAUUAAUAAGAUACUGUUCCUGCCUUGAAGGAGCUUUCAGUUUACUGGAGUAGAGACAGAUAAAAUAAUUUCAAUGCAAUAUGGUAAGUAUAGAAAGGGAAGAUUUAAAAGUAAAUGCUAUGGGAUAAAAGCAAAAGUGUUUGUUAUAUAUUUUACCA
RNAcentral lists this long non-coding RNA (850 nucleotides) under Equus caballus (horse). RNAcentral describes it as "lncRNA (ENSECAG00000050770.1)". The record is from RNAcentral. Lineage: Eukaryota; Metazoa; Chordata; Mammalia; Perissodactyla; Equidae.